This 1027-nucleotide long non-coding RNA is filed under the name Homo sapiens (human). RNAcentral's name for it is "non-protein coding FEZF1-AS1:4". Lineage: Eukaryota; Metazoa; Chordata; Mammalia; Primates; Hominidae. The record is from RNAcentral.
UUUGAAGACACGGCAGCUGUAAGCUGGCGUGAGGAGGCCAAAGGAGCGCGCAGAGCUGCAAGCAAAGGGCGGUGGGGCCUGGACCCUGAAGUGAGUGGCCGACCGCAGCAGCUCAAGGUGCCAUCUGCCUGGCAAGCUACCCGGGUCCCUCCGCCCCACUCUAACUUUCCGCGAAAAUCAGUUCCGCCUCUGCCCCAAGAGCCAAGAGGGGUGGAAAGGAAGAGAGCUUGGGCUGGGAACGCGCCUGAUGUCUAACAGAAAGGCAGUGGCAGCUGGCGAAAAAUCCCCCUCCUGCUGCACUCCUCCGCCACCGGGCUAGGUUGAAAGGAAAAAGCCAAGAAGCGCGAAGCAGCCCGGCUCUGGAAGGCUUUGGAGAGUCCAGCUGACUUGUACACAAUUCGCGGCCUCUGGAGCCUUACCUGCCUUCUUGACUGAAUGCCACCAGUUCGUUUUACGCUUGUGGCUUUUUGUUGAAGUCCCUAUCAUAAGCAAAUGCAGUUUCUGGCUAUGGUUACUGCAAUUCGAAAUAAAAGGCCUGUGAGGUGUGUCCCUCCAGACUGAGAGGCUAUGACUCAGGGUUGGACUUUAUGGAAAAAAAGAAGUUUAUAAAACAAGUAACCCAGUUUCUCCAACCUUUACUGUGGAGCAACAGCGUCAAGCAACAAAACCCAGCAAAGUUUUGCUUGUCACUUACAAGGGUGUUACUGAAAUCUGGAAGGCGAACAAUUAGAAGAUAGCCCAAACAUGCUCUAUUGCUCUACACUGAAAUACUUGCCUCCAAUAAUAGAAAAAACCUGUUUUCGUGCAAUUGAUUGAUUAGCGUUCUGCAGCAGUCCCUGGACAAUUUUAAAGACAUUUUGUGUUUGUGGCCAAAAUUAGAAACAAGCAGACACACACACAAAACAACCAUAUUCAAGACACGGUUCGACUGUUUCCUUGACACUACCCACGAAGUUUAAAGCAUUUUUUAUGUUAUUUUCAAACUUUCUUAAGUGAUCCCAUGAAAUAAAAGUCGAUAAUAGAAAUU